This 494-nucleotide long non-coding RNA is filed under the name Homo sapiens (human). RNAcentral describes it as "novel transcript". The record is from RNAcentral. Lineage: Eukaryota; Metazoa; Chordata; Mammalia; Primates; Hominidae.
AAUAGUCCAGUCAGUCAGAGCUGGUGAAGUAGACUUGCUGUAGAAGGUGUGAAGGCCCAGUCCUCCCUCCACGUUUCUCCACCCUUGAAAGGUCGUGUGCAUGUCUGUUCACCCAUGAAAGAAGAGGAAGACACCAAAUGGAUGGCAUUGAUUUCAUUUUAAGGGCUGGAGAUCAAGACCUACCCAUUGUGAUGAAUAAAUCCAGGCUCUCAGCAAUGCAGGGAGAAAAAGUUUUGUCUAUCAACACUGCAGCAACCAGUCUCUUAGCACAGGCACCAGCCCUGGAGUUCAUGUCCUCAUCAAAGGAUGGAAAGAAGCAAAGCUCAAAUCAGCUUGGGAAGGACCUUACCUAGUGCUCCUGACCACUGUAACCAUCAUCCAGACAGCAGAGAAAGGAUGGACUCAUUAUACCCGAGUCAAAGUGUUGCCACCUCCACAGUCAUGGGCCAUUGUUCCAGGGGAAAGCCCUACCAAAUUAAAGCUAAGAAAAACUU